RNAcentral lists this ribosomal RNA (728 nucleotides) under uncultured bacterium. RNAcentral describes it as "bacterial SSU rRNA". It matches the Rfam family "Bacterial small subunit ribosomal RNA", at positions 10 to 750 of the family's 1533-position model. The record is from RNAcentral.
AGUUUGAUCCUGGCUCAGGAUGAACGCUAGCGGCAGGCCUAAUACAUGCAAGUCAAAGGGGUAGCAAUACCACUGGCGCACGGGUGCGUAACGCGUAUGCAACCUACCGUUCACUGGGGGAUAACGUCGGGAAACCGGCGCUAAUACCGCAUAAAGCAGGGGCUGGGCAUCCAGAUACUGCUAAAGUUUCGAUGGUGAACGAUGGGCAUGCGUCUGAUUAGCUAGUUGGCGGGGUAAUGGCCCACCAAGGCGACGAUCAGUAGGGGAUCUGAGAGGAUAAUCCCCCACACUGGCACUGAGAUACGGGCCAAACUCCUACGGGAGGCAGCAGUAGGGAAUAUUGGGCAAUGGGCGAAAGCCUGACCCAGCCAUGCCGCGUGCAGGAAGACGGCCCUCUGGGUUGUAAACUGCUUUUGUCGGGGAAGAAAAGGGCCGUGCGCGGCACACUGACGGUACCCGAUGAAUAAGCCACGGCUAACCACGUGCCAGCAGCCGCGGUAAUACGUAGGUGGCAAGCGUUGUCCGGAUUUAUUGGGUUUAAAGGGUGCGUAGGUGGUUGGUUAAGUCCGUGGUGAAAGACGAUCGCUCAACGAUUGCAGUGCCAUGGAUACUGACCGACUUGAAUGACGUUGAGGUGGGCGGAAUUGACCGUGUAGCGGUGAAAUGCUUAGAUAUGGUCAAGAACCCCAAUUGCGUAGGCAGCUCACUGGACGUCUAUUGACACUGAG